Molecule: ribosomal RNA, 188 nt
Filed under: uncultured bacterium
Lineage: Bacteria
Description: partial 16S ribosomal RNA
Rfam family: Bacterial small subunit ribosomal RNA
Source: RNAcentral
GCCCACCAUGAAGUUGGAGUUGCUAGUAAUCGCGGAUCAGCAUGCCACGGUGAAUACGUUCCCGGGCCUUGUACACACCGCCCGUCACACCAUGGGAGUUGGGAGCGCCCGAAGCCGGUGAGGUAACCGAGAGGAGCCAGCCGUCGAAGGUGAGACCAAUGACUGGGGUGAAGUCGUAACAAGGUAUC